AAAUGACUUCUAUAAUACCAAACACAUCCUUAAUUCACUAGCUUUUAGUGAUACCCUUAAUUCACUUGUUUUCCAAUUCUUUAUAUUAUUCUUGUUAUUUGUUAAUAGUAGUAAGUUUUAAGUCCAUGUUCAGGAACCUUCAAAAAUAGAUGAGAUCAAAUACUAUCUCGUAUUUUUAAUGUGGACCGAGAAGAUCUACAGUUCUUGUUUGAAUAAAAUUGACAGUCGAUAAGAUUUUUUUAUGCUAGUUUGGUCUGUCUGUUAAUCCAAAAAAAGACCAAAACUACUUCAUAUAGAGUGAUUUGGCAACAAAAGUAGGUCUGUGUAAAAGAAUGGAAGAAAAAACAAUGAUAAUAGUGGGAAAGAUAAGGAGAAAGUUUUACUCAACCCUCUUAACCUCUUCGGCUUGGAACUCUUGAAAGAAAAAAAUAACCUGUUGACCAUAAAGUCAACGGCCAAAAUAAGCUAGUCAUAAGAAAAUGACCCUACAUUAUAAAUGUAUUAUGACACUUUUCAAGAAUAUGAUCCUACAUCAUUACAAGCAGUAGUUUAUUGACUUUGAUGCAAUAUGACCUUCCGUGAAAUUAACCCCCUCUUUCACAACUCCUUGGGUUUGGGAGCCUCAUUUGGUUAGCUCGUCUUUGCCCACCUCAUGGCCCUCGUGGCAGCCGUGAAGUUGUGACGUUUUCGUGGUGUGUGGCACUAGAUUCUAGAUCCAUUCUACUUUAACGCCUGACGUAUACUUCCCCAAGAUCAGAGAACAAGGUCUCCUUAAAAUUUACUUUAGAAAAAUUCCCAAACUAACCUUAAUAAGCAGCUUACCAAUGGAAAGUUGCUUCAUUUUUUAGCUAGUCAAUGUGGCACACAUAACUCGCUCUCAUUCAUCUGAGGAGUCCUCAUUCGUAUUAAAAUUUCUUCUUGUAAUGAUUACAAAUAUCUGAAAAACAGUUGAAAACAGAGAGAGUUGUAUUAUGGGACUCCCAUUCUCCUACAAUGUUGAAAUCCUUAACAUUAUCAUUUCGAGACAUUCUCCUACAAGGCAUCUUCUGUGCUUUAUCCAAAUUUAGAGACAUUCCUUAUAUAUUCAAAGAUCAAAGAACUUUUUAAUUCAAAGAUUUGCACCUUUGACGUGACCAGUUUUCCUUUCAA
RNAcentral lists this long non-coding RNA (1149 nucleotides) under Nicotiana benthamiana. Its description in RNAcentral is "long non-coding RNA (NBEN_LNC041586)". Lineage: Eukaryota; Viridiplantae; Streptophyta; Magnoliopsida; Solanales; Solanaceae. The record is from RNAcentral.